This is a regulatory RNA element of Vibrio ezurae NBRC 102218, 126 nucleotides long. It matches the Rfam family "Gammaprotebacteria rimP leader". NCBI's taxonomy places the organism in Bacteria, Pseudomonadati, Pseudomonadota, Gammaproteobacteria, Vibrionales, Vibrionaceae. The record is from Rfam.
CCUUAGCUUAGUGAUAUCAGGGUCCAGCAGCAUAAAACCCCGACACUAUCGGGGUUUUUUGUUAUCUGCGGUUUAUCACUGCGGAUGUGUGCUUGGUAAAUGAAAUGGGCUUUAUGCCCUUUUUUU